RNAcentral lists this long non-coding RNA (1438 nucleotides) under Ficedula albicollis (Collared flycatcher). RNAcentral's name for it is "lncRNA (ENSFALG00000023588.1)". Lineage: Eukaryota; Metazoa; Chordata; Aves; Passeriformes; Muscicapidae. The record is from RNAcentral.
AUGACCCUGCUCGCUGAAGGACACCAGAAUGAUGCUCCCUGUUUCUGGAGUGUUGGAACACUGGUUUUGCAGAGCUACCAGCUGGCCCUGGAGCUGCAUAGCUUCCCUUGGGGACAGCAGGGGAAAGGGGGCUGGGAAUUAAGUUCUAAUAAAAUAAGCUACAUCUGGGAAAAUGACUUUCAUGCAGGUUUUUUUUUGGUCUGUUUUUGCAUCUUUUCUCCUCUGCGUAGUGUUUCAGCCAAAGUGUAUGGUGCUGUCAGCAUCCACACACAUGGGAGGAUGCUGUAAACCCUGGUCAAACGUUCAGGCUGUGAUGGAUCACUGAGAAUUUCUUUUUUAUCCCCUAAUUCUUCCUUUUUUGUUCUAUUAUACUAAGCCUAUCACUUCAAUCUGAUUAAGUUUAGGGAGAUAAACAUCCUGCCAUCUGUCAUGAAACUUUUUACACUGUUUGCUUGCUGGAGGAAGCGCAGCCGUUUUCCUUUUUGGGUUACAAAGGCUGCAGGGAGAUACUGCCCUGUUUCCCCAAGAACUUAUUUAACACCCCCAUGUGCCCUUGGGCUGCUGUGGCCUCUGAGUUUAGAUUUGAAUUUAGAUUUUAUUUUAAGAGGCAGAUAUGUUUGUCCUCAAACACAAAGAAGGAGGUGCUACUUGGUACUUCAAUUUGCAUUUUGCUGUUUGUAUCUUUGGCUGUGUUACAGCUAAAUGACAGGCUGGGGGGGAGGCAUGGGAGAUGUCCCCCCACCACGGGGAGGGUGCAGUGUGUCUGUCUGCAUGUGAAUAUCACAAAAUGUCCUUUUUUUGUGUGACCCGUGGCUGGGACACCCUUCCUACACAGACGCCACAAGGGAGGGUCCAGCUUGAGGGCUUUCCUGGGAUGUUUUGGGACAUCCCUUCCCAGCACCUAUAGAGAUAUCAAGGAGGUGCAGCCAGGAGAGGAGAAGAGGAAGCUCCAUCAGACUCCAACCCCAUCAAACUCCAGGCAGUGCCACCACCCCGAGGGCAGCGAUGUCCCCAACCCCCGGACCCACAGACGCGCCCGGCCGCGGGGACAGCACAGAGAGGAGACACGGGGCUUAUUGAACCAGGAAGCUUUAUUUACACAGUAAAAGUAACAAGCAAUUUCCUGAGAUUGAGCUGCUCUAGUGCAAUCAAGUCAUGGAGGGGGCAGGAGCAGCCUCCUCCCCGCCCGUGGAGGGGACGCCUCGGGGGCCCCUCCGGGACACGCACGGCCCGCGGCGCUUGUGCAAUUGCCAGCGAGGCUUGGCUACUACAGGUCAUAGCUUCAGAAGGCUUGGGUUUUAUUCUUCUUCCCAUUUUUUUUAAUAUUUUGUGUUUUAUUUGGCCAUCCUCUUCUUUUUCUUUCUUGAACACCGAACCCACACACGCCGCAAAGCACUGCUACAAUCCUAGAACAUCCUACGUCAGUCUGCUCGCCUGG